UAAAGCGGCCGGUCUCCACUAUGUGGGUGUAUCUGGUUCGGUUUGGGCAUCCUCUUGGGGAACGGUUCUGCGCUUGAUUGCGCGGGCCGGAAUUCAAGACUUUUACUUUGAGGAAAUUAGAGUGUUCACGGCAAGCUAUCGCUUUGAAUAUGUUAGCAUGGAAUAAUAAUAUAGGGCGUGAGUUCUAUUUUGUUGGCUUCUAGGAUUUACGCAAUGAUUAAUAGGGACAAUUGGGGGCAUUUGUAUUAAGGCGUCAGAGGUGGAAUUCUUAGAUUGCCUUACGACAAACUACUGCGAAAGCAUUUGCCAAGGAUGUUUUCAUUGAUCAAGAACGAAAGUAUCGGGGAUCGAAAACGAUUAGAUACCGUUGUAGUCUAUACCCAUAAACUAUGCCAA
Molecule: ribosomal RNA, 396 nt
Filed under: uncultured eukaryote
Lineage: Eukaryota
Description: bacterial SSU rRNA
Rfam family: Eukaryotic small subunit ribosomal RNA
Source: RNAcentral